This is a long non-coding RNA of Arabidopsis thaliana (thale cress), 208 nucleotides long. RefSeq annotates it as other RNA. Lineage: Eukaryota; Viridiplantae; Streptophyta; Magnoliopsida; Brassicales; Brassicaceae. The transcript has a single exon. The record is from RefSeq.
AAGAUCAGUUUCAGUUCAUCAGAGAAACAACAAUGGGUUUGCUAAAAUGACACGAUGUAUGCUUGCUCUUAGUUCCCGAAUUCUUGAACACUCUAAACCCAAAAAGGUUCCUCAAAUAUUGAACUCAAAAUGAAAAAAAAAAGUGAGAAUCGGCCUCUUGUUUCAUUUAUGUUGGAAGGCAACUAUGUCAUUGCAAUUACUCUCUAGG